Molecule: long non-coding RNA, 683 nt
Filed under: Calidris pugnax (ruff)
Lineage: Eukaryota; Metazoa; Chordata; Aves; Charadriiformes; Scolopacidae
Description: lncRNA (ENSCPUG00000007120.1)
Source: RNAcentral
AUGCCCUUUAACUCUUGUAUUCUAAGAAUAUGUGGGCAACUACAGUCUGUUCCUCUUCAUCAUGUUAUUCAGAACAAUAUAGAUACCUGUCACUUCUCUCCUUACUCAGGCUGUAAUUCCAUGGGACUAUGUCACUCUCUGCAUGGAAGCUGUCACCCAACUCUGAACCCGCUGCUCACUUCAUUGAUGUCUCCAACUUUCCCUAAUUUCCUUCAUUUUGGUGGAGAUGAACCACCAGUGGUGGUUUGUACUGGCUCUGACAACUUCCUUGCUCUGAACUUGCUGGCUGCACUGAUUUCUGAAAAAGACAUUCUGAAAUAAAUUGUGAUGCUACUUUAUAACUUAAGUGUUUGCUCUUAUUCAAUGCCUCUGACAAGCUUUAGCUUUGAGACUUCUGCCCUUUGGAAGCACCAAGCAGGUUUUGCCCUUGCAGGAUCAGGCAGUGUUUGUGGGUUGCCAAAGGACCUUCACAGAAUCACAGAAUCGUAGUGGUUCUGUGACCUUGGGGCUGGAUGUGACACAUGAAGGCAAACUACCUCUUCUAACCAUCCUGAGGUGAGGAUUUUGGGCUGCCCUGAGACCCUUGCAGUGGUCCCACCUGAGGAGACCUCUGGCUGAGGGCAAUAGAAGCCUCAGUGUUUGCUCCAACCUGCAGCCCCUUGCAGAGCUCGGCUGGACUCGUG